RNAcentral lists this long non-coding RNA (1034 nucleotides) under Fukomys damarensis (Damara mole-rat). Its description in RNAcentral is "lncRNA (ENSFDAG00000031305.1)". The record is from RNAcentral. Lineage: Eukaryota; Metazoa; Chordata; Mammalia; Rodentia; Bathyergidae.
GCUUGCAGCAGCUAAAAUAUUUACUUUUUGAUGCUAUGCAGAAAAAUUUUGCGGAUCCCUGAGUUAUACCAAUAACUACUCAAUGGAGAGACCCCUGUGACCUCCUGAGGCAUGGGAAAAUACCAGAACAGGACACGGGUCACUCAACAGCAGGCAGGGGACUGACCAGCCGGAUCCAGAAAGCCUCCGGGGGAGGUCAGUCUGGCUCCCCUGUGUCCCCCUCUCUCCGCCCCUGGAUCCUGUGAAGCAUCCCCCACACGGAUUCCAGUGUCUGCCACUCAGCACCUUAAAAGGAAGAUCUGGGCCUCUUUGCACAGACAGGAAGCGGACCAGUGUUUGAGAAGGGCAGGGCAUCCUUUGUGGCUGAAUCCCGACCUCGCAGUUUUAGAGGUACUGCGCUCCUGCAGUCCUGAAACUCAGCCCCAGCGCCCAGCCUGUGAGCCUGUCCCCACGCUCCAGUCUGGACCCUGCGCUGUGGCCCUUCGCCCUUCCAGUGUGAAUGCCGUGCCUCCGCGUCCUCCUCGGGAGUCACUCAGAUUUAUAUGUAAAUCUCUGUCCCUCCCCAGCCAGCUUCUCCCCAAGGCCGGCGGCUGAGAGAUUUAGAGAGGAGGCGGGGCUCGGGUCCUUAGCGCCUUCGAAGCCACGCCCCCAGUGAUGUCACUUCCUCUCGCCAGGCCCACCUUCCAAAGAUUCCGCCCCUUGCCAGCGUGCCACAGCGGGGGACCAGGCCUUAAUGGCCCGAGCCUUUGGGAGCAUUUAAAAUCUAAAUCCUAACAACAGGUUUCAUGUGCUUUUGUCUACCUGGAAACCUACCUCUGUCAUUUCUGAGAAGGAUUAUCUCUUCCUGUUUUUUAAAAAAAUCGAGGUGAAAUUCACAUGCCAUAAAAUUAACCGUUUUAACAUUUACAAGUCAGUAGCAUUUACUGAGUUCACAAGGCUCUGGAACCCCACUUCUAGAACAUUUCCAUGACCCCCAAAGAAAACCUACGCCCAUUAGACAUUCCAAAUUUUCCCCUCCCAGCCCUUGGCAACCA